Long non-coding RNA from Neofelis nebulosa (Clouded leopard), 1594 nucleotides. RefSeq lists it as uncharacterized. NCBI's taxonomy places the organism in Eukaryota, Metazoa, Chordata, Mammalia, Carnivora, Felidae. The transcript has 5 exons. The record is from RefSeq and is a predicted model, not a curated record.
UCCACAUAGAGCAGCGGUUCUCUAGCCUUGCAGCAAUCCGGAAUCACCGUGGAGGACGACAAGAAGGAAGAUGCCCAUCGCAGACCAACUGAAUCAGAGUCUGCAGGGGUGAUUCUGAUGCACACCACAGAGGGUUCAUGAAGGCCAAGGAGACAGUGGGAUCUCCCAGGAAAGAGAGAAAGAGUGAGUGCAAAACACAGUCCCGAACCCCAAAGCAUCUUACUAUUGAGCACCAAAAGUCUGUACUUCCUGUCAGUAAAGAAUGCGCUUAAUUGAACUCUAACGAGCUUUCCACUACUGGCCGCACUCUGGCCCACAGAAUACAUGAAUCACUUGUCCUUAUGCAGUGCAAGAGUCCUCCGCUAAUGUUUGGAGCCUUAAACGUAGCCACUUGAGCUUCCCAUCUAUCAGGCAUGGUUAGGGAUCCCAGAAGCCUCACAUAGCCUGGCGAUAAAACAGAGAAAGAGCUGGAAGGCAAUAAGUGACAAACCCCAGCCCUUCCUAGAUGUCGCUGUGGACAAUGGAUGCUGUCUCCUAGAAACAAUCCCUUUGCCUUGCACCCCAAGACCGGAUGAAGUGAACAUUUCUGAAACACGUCCAGGAGACAGACUGUUCUCUGGGAGGCUACGAGCUGUCUCUCCUAGCAAAGAAGGGAAAAACGAUGAGUGCCCGGAAGUCCGAUCACUGGAUUAAAAGAGAAAUGACAUGAAGAGGCCACGUGCAGGUGCUCUAGCCACAGCCCAGCUAAAGACCCCUCCGUCAGCCAGCAUGAAUCACCAGCCACGGCCAGCCUGAAGGGAGGGUACCGAGAAGCAAAACAGCAUCCCUGGCUGCCUAAGUCUUUUUGUGGCAUCGGAUGGACAGACACGCUGAUGAGGAGCAGACUUGUUGCAUGAAAAACAAAUUCUCCUGAAAUACAAGACUCACGCACAGGAGUCAACCCUGAUAAACUGAGAAUAACAGCUCACUCUGUGUGCUCUUCAGUUAGAAGCUUUAACUGGGACCCAGCAACAGUUUCCCCAAGUCACGGCAAGGAUGGAUAGAAGCAGCCCGUGUCUCCUAUUUGUACACUUGAUUUCUAAACAUCAUUUAAAUGCAACAGCGAGAAAAUAGAGUAAUUCAGGAGCAGCAGAUAGGAACCUGAUUCCAGUCACUCUCUGGACAAGACAUUUUCUCUCAACAAUUCAGAGGCCCUUGAAAUGUGCACUUAACCAUACAACGUGUUUUAUGUGUCAGUGGCACAGUCUCUUUGUUGAGAAUUAAUUGUAUGUGCCUUCACUCCUGUUGAAACUACCCUCUAAGAAGCCUGGCAGACUUCCAGGGACCCCAGCCCCUGGGACUGACACCCAAGUUCGGGACUUCUUAGUGACUCGGAAUCUGAGAGCCGGACAUUCACACAGUGUUCUUGCUUAAAGGUUCUCUUUGCUGUAAGCUACCCGAGAAGUCAUCACAACGUACAGAGGACAAUGAGCUCUUCACUUCCCGUGAAGUCACCCCACUGUCACUCCAAGGGCACCUUCUUUGCGUUUGUGCACAUCAAAGAAGCUUGAGGGCAAGAUCAUAGCCCCCUGGCCCAGCCCUAGAUUGCGAGCAC